RNAcentral lists this ribosomal RNA (505 nucleotides) under uncultured fungus. RNAcentral's name for it is "eukaryotic LSU rRNA". The stretch from base 152 to 303 matches the Rfam family "5.8S ribosomal RNA". Lineage: Eukaryota; Fungi. The record is from RNAcentral.
GGAAGUAAAAGUCGUAACAAGGUUUCCGUAGGUGAACCUGCGGAAGGAUCAUUAAAGUGGAUGAGAUGGUAGAUUUAUUACUAGUUUAGUUUUUUUCUGGACUAGAACCAACAAUUAUUUUAACAAUAACUAUGAGAAUGAUUACAUGAGCACCUUGCUGCAAUGGAUCUCUCGGCUCUUGCAUCGAAGAAGAACGCAGUCCAUUGCGAAAAGUCAUGCGACCUGCACCUUUUGAGAAGCAUUACUCUUUGAACGCACCUUGCGCGUGGAAUUAACAUUUCACGAGGUCCUGUUUGAGCAAGAUUACUAGUGGUAGAACUUGACUGUUGGAUUACUAUUCGAUGGUUUAAAAAAAUGCAGAUUAGCUAGCCUGAACGACUCUAAGGCACAGUGAUGAAGUAGUAAAGUGACUGGAACAUGUUCAAGUAUCAUGGCCCAGCACUAGCAAAUUUAUCAACUGCAAGAACGAGCAAGGAUACUCAACUAUCCUCGCUCAACGAUGUAC